CAGCAGCCGCGGUAAUACGGAGGGUGCGAGCGUUAAUCGGAAUUACUGGGCGUAAAGCGCGCGUAGGCGGUUAGUUAAGUCGGAUGUGAAAGCCCCGGGCUCAACCUGGGAACUGCAUUCGAUACUGGCCAACUAGAGUACGAGAGAGGGAGGUAGAAUUCCAUGUGUAGCGGUGAAAUGCGUAGAUAUGUGGAGGAAUACCAGUGGCGAAGGCGGCCUCCUGGCUCGAUACUGACGCUGAGGUGCGAAAGCGUGGGGAGCAAACAGGAUUAGAUACCUUGGUAGUCCACGCCGUAAACGAUGUCUACUAGCCGUUGGGAGACUUGAUUUCUUAGUGGCGCAGCUAACGCAAUAAGUAGACCGCCUGGGGAGUACGGCCGCAAGGUUAAAACUCAAAUGAAUUGACGGGGGCCCGCACAAGCGGUGGAGCAUGUGGUUUAAUUCGAUGCAACGCGAAGAACCUUACCAGGUCUUGACAUCCUGCGAAUUUUCUAGAGAUAGAUUAGUGCCUUCGGGAACGCAGUGACAGGUGCUGCAUGGCUGUCGUCAGCUCGUGUCGUGAGAGUUUGGGUUAAGUCCCGUAACGAGCGCAACCCUUGUCCUUAA
RNAcentral lists this ribosomal RNA (606 nucleotides) under gamma proteobacterium SE1205. Its description in RNAcentral is "bacterial SSU rRNA". It matches the Rfam family "Bacterial small subunit ribosomal RNA", at positions 509 to 1114 of the family's 1533-position model. RNAcentral also lists the same sequence under 1 other name. Lineage: Bacteria; Pseudomonadati; Pseudomonadota; Gammaproteobacteria. The record is from RNAcentral.